GGUGUCCGCCCGCCCUCGGCUCCUCCGCCGUGAUGCUGUCCCGGUCCCGCUGUGUGUCCCGGGCGUUCAGCCGCUCGCUCUCCGCCUUCCAGAAGGGGAACUGCCCUCUAGGGAGACGUUCCCUGCCUGGGGUCUCCUUAUGCCAGGGACCAGGUUACCCUAACAGCAGGAAGGUUGUCAUUAACAACAGUGUCUUCAGUGUUCGCUUUUUCAGAACUACAGCUGUAUGCAAGGAUGACUUGGUUACAGUCAAAACCCCAGCGUUUGCAGAAUCUGUCACAGAGGGAGAUGUCAGGUGGGAGAAAGCUGUUGGAGACACAGUUGCAGAAGAUGAAGUAGUUUGUGAGAUUGAAACUGACAAGACAUCUGUGCAGGUUCCAUCACCAGCAAAUGGCGUGAUUGAAGCUCUUUUGGUACCUGAUGGGGGAAAAGUCGAAGGAGGCACUCCACUUUUCACACUCAGGAAAACUGGUGGUAAAGAAGUUCUCCUGGUGGUCGAGGUCUCCAGUGUUCCCUCUUGGGAUUGGGACUGAGCAUAAUGUGCUAAUUCCCCGAUAUGUCAAAGACUCUGUCAUUCCAGCUGCCCUUAGUUGAGGGAAUAAGGGGUAAAUUUAUAUAUAGUGUGAACUUUAAAUGUCAAAUUCUAAAAGAAAAGUUUAUUUUUUAAAAAAUAAACCUUAUACUCUGUUCUUUCCAUGGGUGUUUCUUAGCAGGAGCUGAGAAACUGGACCUUUUCUUAUAGAUAUACAGAUUGAGCAUACCUAAUCUGAAAAUUCAAAAUCUGAAAUGCUCCAAAACUGAAAAAUCCAAAAUCUGAAAUGCUUCAAAACUUUUUGAGCACUGACAGAAUGCUCAAAGGAAAUGCUCAUUGUCUUUUAUGGGGAAUUCAGUGUUGUUUCUUUUCACAUCUAUUCUCUCAUAUCUCUAGGAAGGGUUGGUAUUUCUUUUGGGAAGAAAUGAGAAACGAAUUUGUACUGGACCUUAUAGGAUUAGAGAUUAAUAACUUUAUCUGACUCUUAGUUAAAUUUUAUAACCACUAAAAAGUCUAUUUCUUUUUCCUAAGCGAGAAUCGUACCCGUAGACCAACGAGUCACAGAAGUCUAUUUCUUUUUCACUGUUACACUAAUAAGGCAGAUAGACCGCAUGAUUGAGGUUAGUCAGGCAAGACCAGAAGCUCAGAGUAGAAAACAUGUAUGGUAGAAGGCUGGGAAAUAAGGUAGUCCUCCUGUUGCAGAAGUUUGUCUUAGCACUAACCCUGGAUAUAAUGUCCAGAUGGGUGAAAAACAGAAACAAACAUUUCAUUUAAAGUUGUGAGAUUAUUACUUGGCCACCUCAGUGAUUUAUGAGUCAUCCUGGAUGAAGUGC
Molecule: small RNA, 1365 nt
Filed under: Pan troglodytes (chimpanzee)
Lineage: Eukaryota; Metazoa; Chordata; Mammalia; Primates; Hominidae
Description: retained intron
Source: RNAcentral